UCAGAUCAGGGUUGGCUUCUUUAAGAACGUAUUGUUUGAGAUGAGUUCGGAAAGACAGGAGUAAGCAGCAUGAUAUGGAAAAGGGAAAACGUGCAAAUGACUGGAGAUGGGAGACGGUUUGGAGCUUUCAAGGAACAACAACAACAACAAAAAACUAGCGUAAAGAAAUAUAAAGAGUAAGGGAGAACAGUCAAGUUGAUGAACUAUACAGGUUUCUGGCGUCCUCCCAAAAGGUAAUCCUUAAUGAACUACAGAAUCAAGCAGGAGAAAUAAAAUACUAGAAACUAACACACAGAAGAAAGAAAGAAGGCAAUAAUGUCCACUAUCAUCACCACCCUUUAACACGGGGCUAGAGGCAAUGGUCAGUGCUGGUAGGUUAGAAAAACAAAUGAGAGGCGUAAGGAGAAGGAAAACUGCCAGCAUUUGUAGUGGUGUGAUCAUAGCCUUCGAAUAACGAGAGAAUCAAAGAAUUAUUAAAACUAAUAAGAGCGUUUAGGAAGGUGUCCAGAUAUAAGAUCAUUAAAAUCAAUUCUAUUUUUAUUCACCAAGAGUUAUCAAUUAGAAAGAUUAAUUACUAAAAGAUACUACCUAUUUUUACACAGCAAAACUACUGAUGGUGGAGACUGGAAGAACCACUGAGACUAUGAUCCCCGGACACCCUGCUAACUCAGAACUGAAACCACACCUGAAGUCCAUUUUCAGACGGAGAUUAGACAGCCUACAAAACAAGCAAUAACAUGCGCCCUGCCCCAAUGUCACUGCUUUUGCAAAGCCUUCUCCACACAGGCUAAACAUUCCCUGUUCCUUCACUUUUUCCCCUUAUGGAAUGGUUUCCAGGUCCUUCACCAUCACAAUCUUCUCUAUUAUGCUUCAAUUUAUUUCUUAACACGUGGCUUCCAACACUGAAUCCAGCACUCCAGAUGUAGUCUGCACAGCGCAGUGUCACGGGGCCCUUCUCUCGUCUGUCUUGAGCACCUGACUUUGGUACCCAGCCAUAGCAACUCAGAUCCGCUGGUGAACACCACACCAUCUUUCAAGAUUUGGUUAGGGAAUUACAACAUCUCUAAAGCUGUUUCCAACCCCAGUCAUGGAGUUACCGCCUCUUCAUUUGACCUUCCACUGCAGCCAGGUUAGUACAUUUGUUGGUUUACACGCUUGCCUCCCCGCUAGAUUGUGAGCAGUCUUAACCAGCCUUGUGAACCUGAACACCAGUGCUAUUGAUAGCUCAGACUGGUGUAUGUUUGUUGAAUGAUCAAAUGAAUGAAAAGUUAAGCAAAAGUUAAAUGAGACUCUUACAGGGGAUAAAGGUAUCACUCUCAACAUCAGUGCUACUAACUCUACUCUCAAUUCUAUAUGCACACCUGGAUGGACCAGUUUUUUAUAUCUGUGAAGUAGACCACAUGUCCUUUUAGCUUCUGGCAUCUUUUUACUUUUCCAUAAUUAAGUCACCUGUCCUAAUAAAGUUCAAUUUUAAUCAUCUGUCUUCAUUUUUCGGGGUGCAGCUGGUAACUGCUACAAGUGUGUUAUAAGAAUUUUAUUGGAAGAUUCCUAUUCA
Loxodonta africana (African savanna elephant) is the source of this 1555-nucleotide long non-coding RNA. RefSeq lists it as uncharacterized. The record is from RefSeq and is a predicted model, not a curated record. Lineage: Eukaryota; Metazoa; Chordata; Mammalia; Proboscidea; Elephantidae. The transcript is spliced from 4 exons.